AGUGAACGCUGGCGGUAGGCCUAACACAUGCAAGUCGAACGGCAGCACAGUAAGAGCUUGCUCUUACGGGUGGCGAGUGGCGGACGGGUGAGGAAUACAUCGGAAUCUACUUUUUCGUGGGGGAUAACGUAGGGAAACUUACGCUAAUACCGCAUACGACCUACGGGUGAAAGCAGGGGAUCUUCGGACCUUGCGCGAUUGAAUGAGCCGAUGUCGGAUUAGCUAGUUGGCGGGGUAAAGGCCCACCAAGGCGACGAUCCGUAGCUGGUCUGAGAGGAUGAUCAGCCACACUGGAACUGAGACACGGUCCAGACUCCUACGGGAGGCAGCAGUGGGGAAUAUUUGACAAUGGGCGCAAGCCUGAUCCAGCCAUACCGCGUGGGUGAAGAAGGCCUUCGGGUUGUAAAGCCCUUUUGUUUGGAAAGAAAAGCAGCAGGUUAAUACCCCGCUGUUCUGACGGUACCCAAAGAAUAAGCACCGGCUAACUUCGUG
Molecule: ribosomal RNA, 492 nt
Filed under: uncultured bacterium
Lineage: Bacteria
Description: partial 16S ribosomal RNA
Rfam family: Bacterial small subunit ribosomal RNA
Source: RNAcentral